GACGGGGUGGCCCAAUGGUUAGCGCGUUGGACUCCGGAUUGAGCGGUCCAGGUUCAAGCGCUGGUCGGGGUCA
Desmophyllum pertusum is the source of this 73-nucleotide non-coding RNA. The record is from the annotation of a GenBank genome assembly. NCBI's taxonomy places the organism in Eukaryota, Metazoa, Cnidaria, Anthozoa, Scleractinia, Caryophylliidae.